This 2538-nucleotide ribosomal RNA is filed under the name metagenome. Its description in RNAcentral is "bacterial LSU rRNA". It matches the Rfam family "Bacterial large subunit ribosomal RNA", at positions 3 to 2627 of the family's 2925-position model. The record is from RNAcentral.
UCAAGUUAGAAAGAGCGCAAGGGGAAUGCCUUGGCACUGGGAGCCGAAGAAAGACGCGAUAAGCUGCGAUAAGCUGCGGGGAGCUGCAAAUGAGUUUUGAUCCGCAGAUUUCUGAAUGGGGAAACCCACAUGAGUAAAGCUCAUGUAUCAUUAACUGAAUACAUAGGUUAAUGAAGGGAACCGCCUGAACUGAAACAUCUAAGUAGGGCGAGGAAGAGAAAUCAAAAGAGAUUCCGUGAGUAGUGGCGAGCGAAAAUGGAAGAGGCCAAACCGUAAGUAGCAAUAUUUACGGGGUAUGGACAGCGUACGGUAUCAGCAAUCAUAACCGAAGGGCAUGGGAAGGCCCGCCGAAGAGAGUGAGAGCCUCGUAGGUGAAAUGAGAGCUGAGUCAGCUGUAUCCGGAGUACCGCGGGACACGAGGAAUCGCCGUGGGAAAGCGGGUGGACCACCAUCCAAGCCUAAAUACUACCCAGUGACCGAUAGUGGAGCAGUACCGUGAGGGAAAGGUGAAAAGGACCCCGGGAGGGGAGUGAAACAGAACCUGAAACCUUGUGCUUACAAAUGCUCAGAGCACGUUAAUGUGUGAUGAGGUACUUUUUGUAGAACGGUCCGGCGAGUUAUUGUAUCAUGCGAGGUUAAGUGAUUAAGUCACGGAGCCGAAGGGAAACCGAGUGUUAAUAGCGCGAUAAGUACGGUGCAAUAGACCCGAAACCGGGUGACCUAUCCAUGAGCAGGUUGAAGUGGAGGUAAAGCUCCAUGGAGGACCGAACGCACGCCUGUUGAAAAAGUCGGCGAUGACUUGUGGAUAGCGGAGAAAUUCCAAUCGAACUCGGAGAUAGCUGGUUCUCCCCGAAAUAGCUUUAGGGCUAGCGUUAUGACAGAUUACCGAAGGUAAAGCACUGAAUGAGCUAGGGGCCGCGAGGUUACUGAACUCUAUCAAACUCUGAAUGUCGGAUAAUUGAUUCAUAGCAGUCAGACAGCGUGAGAUAAGUUUCGUUGUCAAAAGGGAAACAGCCCAGAUCCACAGCUAAGGUCCCAAAUCUAUGCUAAGUGUAAAAUGAUGUGAAAAUGCGAAAACAACCAGGAUGUUGGCUUAGAAGCAGCCACACAUUUAAAGAGUGCGUAAUAGCUCACUGGUCGAGUGUCUUUGCGCAGAAGAUAUAACGGGGCUAAGCAUAGAACCGAAGCUUGGGCAGUAGAAAUACUGGGUAGGGGAGCGUUCUUACCGGGGUGAAGCAAGAGCGGAAGCACUUGUGGACUUGUAAGAAGUGAGAAUGCCGGAAUGAGUAGCGAGAAUUAUGUGGGAAUCAUAAUGGUCGAAAAUCUAAGGUUUCUUGGGGAAGGUUCGUCCGCCCAAGGUAAGCCGGGAGCUAAGGCGAGGCCGAAAGGCGUAGUCGAUGCACAUACGGUAGAAAUUCCGUAGCCGCUGACAUUUAAACCAGAGGGACACUUAAAGAUAGCAGAAGCCGGGCGUUGGUAGCCCCGGUCGAAAGGGACUGAAAAUUAGUAGGGAAGUCUGCGAUGCUUUGAGGCGAGAAAAGCUCUGGCGUAUACUAAAGCGCCCGUACCGCAAACCGACACAGGUAGAUGAGGAGAGAAUCCUAAGACCAACGGGAGAAGGGUUGUCAAGGAACUCGGCAAAUUAGACUCGUAACUUCGGGAAAAGAGUCGCCCUCGAAAGAGGGUCGCAGUGAAAAGGCCCAAGCGACUGUUUACCAAAAACACAGGUCUCUGCUAAAUCGAAAGAUGACGUAUAGGGGCUGACGCCUGCCCGGUGCCGGAAGGUUAAGAGGAGAGGUUAGCGCAAGCGAAGCUUUGAUCUGAAGCCCCGGUAAACGGCGGCCGUAACUAUAACGGUCCUAAGGUAGCGAAAUUCCUUGUCAGGUAAGUUCUGACCCGCACGAAUGGCGUAACGAUUUGGGCACUGUCUCGACAGCCCACCCGGCGAAAUUAAAGUACUGGUGAAGAUGCCAGUUACCCGCAACUAGACGGAAAGACCCCAUGGAGCUUUACUGUAGCUUGAUACUGGAUUUCGGUAUUUCAUGUACAGGAUAGGUGGGAGACUUGGAACCAUAGGCGCCAGCUUAUGGGGAGUCAUCCUUGGGAUACCACUCUUGAAAUACUGAAGUUCUAACCUGCGGCCAUGAAUCUGGUCGAGGGACACUGUCAGGCGGGCAGUUUGACUGGGGCGGUCGCCUCCCAAAAGGUAACGGAGGCGCUCAAAGGUUGGCUCAGCACGGACGGAAAUCGUGCAUAGAGUGUAAACGCAGAAGCCAGCCUGACUGCGAGACAGACAUGUCGAGCAGAAACGAAAGUUGGAGUUAGUGAUCCGGCGGUAUGUGAGUGGAAAUGCCGUCGCUUAACGGAUAAAAGCUACCCUGGGGAUAACAGGCUGAUCUCCCCCAAGAGUUCACAUCGACGGGGAGGUUUGGCACCUCGAUGUCGGCUCAUCGCAUCCUGGGGCUGAAUUCGGUCCCAAGGGUUUGGCUGUUCGCCAAUUAAAGCGGUACGCGAGCUGGGUUCAGAACGUCGUGAGAC